This 1545-nucleotide ribosomal RNA is filed under the name Escherichia coli. RNAcentral's name for it is "bacterial SSU rRNA". It matches the Rfam family "Bacterial small subunit ribosomal RNA". Lineage: Bacteria; Pseudomonadati; Pseudomonadota; Gammaproteobacteria; Enterobacterales; Enterobacteriaceae. The record is from RNAcentral.
UUGAAGAGUUUGAUCAUGGCUCAGAUUGAACGCUGGCGGCAGGCCUAACACAUGCAAGUCGAACGGUAACAGGAAACAGCUUGCUGUUUCGCUGACGAGUGGCGGACGGGUGAGUAAUGUCUGGGAAACUGCCCGAUGGAGGGGGAUAACUACUGGAAACGGUAGCUAAUACCGCAUAACGUCGCAAGACCAAAGAGGGGGACCUUCGGGCCUCUUGCCAUCGGAUGUGCCCAGAUGGGAUUAGCUAGUAGGUGGGGUAACGGCUCACCUAGGCGACGAUCCCUAGCUGGUCUGAGAGGAUGACCAGCCACACUGGAACUGAGACACGGUCCAGACUCCUACGGGGGGAGGCAGCAGUGGGGAAUAUUGCACAAUGGGCGCAAGCCUGAUGCAGCCAUGCCGCGUGUAUGAAGAAGGCCUUCGGGUUGUAAAAAGUACUUUCAGCGGGGAGGAAGGGAGUAAAGUUAAUACCUUUGCUCAUUGACGUUACCCGCAGAAGAAGCACCGGCUAACUCCGUGCCAGCAGCCGCGGUAAUACGGAGGGUGCAAGCGUUAAUCGGAAUUACUGGGCGUAAAGCGCACGCAGGCGGUUUGUUAAGUCAGAUGUGAAAUCCCCGGGCUCAACCGGGAACUGCAUCUGAUACUGGCAAGCUUGAGUCUCGUAGAGGGGGGGUAGAAUUCGAGGGUGUAGCGGUGAAAUGCGUAGAGAUCUGGAGGAAUACCGGUGGCGAAGGCGGCCCCGGACGACGAAGACUGACGCUCAGGUGCGAAAGCGUGGGGAGCAAACAGGAUUAGAUACCCUGGUAGUCCACGCCGUAAACGAUGUCGACUUGGAGGUUGUGCCCUUGAGGCGUGGCUUCCGGAGCUAACGCGUUAAGUCGACCGCCUGGGGAGUACGGCCGCAAGGUUAAAACUCAAAUGAAUUGACGGGGGCCCGCACAAGCGGUGGAGCAUGUGGUUUAAUUCGAUGCAACGCGAAGAACCUUACCUGGUCUUGACAUCCACGGAAGUUUUCAGAGAUGAGAAUGUGCCUUCGGGAACCGUGAGACAGGUGCUGCAUGGCUGUCGUCAGCUCGUGUUGUGAAAUGUUGGGUUAAGUCCCGCAACGAGCGCAACCCUUAUCCUUUGUUGCCAGCGGUCCGGCCGGGAACUCAAAGGAGACUGCCAGUGAUAAACUGGAGGAAGGUGGGGAUGACGUCAAGUCAUCAUGGCCCUUACGACCAGGGCUACACACGUGCUACAAUGGCGCAUACAAAGAGAAGCGACCUCGCGAGAGCAAGCGGACCUCAUAAAGUGCGUCGUAGUCCGGAUUGAGUCUGCAACUCGACUCCAUGAAGUCGGAAUCGCUAGUAAUCGUGGAUCAGAAUGCCACGGUGAAUACGUUCCCCGGGCCUUGUACACACCGCCCGUCACACCAUGGGAGUGGGUUGCAAAAGAAGUAGGUAGCUUAACCUUCGGGAGGGCGCUUACCACUUUGUGAUUCAUGACUGGGGUGAAGUCGUAACAAGGUAACCGUAGGGGAACCUGCGGUUGGAUCACCUCCUU